UCCGGUUUGGCACCGGCAGUCUCUCUAGAGUGCCCGGCAUUACCCGCUGGUAACUAGAGACGGGGGUUGCGCUCGUUGCGGGACUUAACCCAACAUCUCACGACACGAGCUGACGACAGCCAUGCAGCACCUGUGCAGGGACUCCGAAGAGGGGCCGGCGUCUCUGCCGGCUUUCCCCUGCAUGUCAAGCCUAGGUAAGGUUCUUCGCGUUGCGUCGAAUUAAACCACAUGCUCCACCGCUUGUGCGGGCCCCCGUCAAUUCCUUUGAGUUUCAGCCUUGCGGCCGUACUCCCCAGGCGGGGCACUUAAUGCGUUAGCGCCGGCACCCGGGGGGUCGCUCCCCCAAGCACCUAGUGCCCAUCGUUUACGGCGUGGACUAC
Molecule: unclassified non-coding RNA, 380 nt
Filed under: uncultured Gemmatimonadaceae bacterium
Lineage: Bacteria; Pseudomonadati; Gemmatimonadota; Gemmatimonadia; Gemmatimonadales; Gemmatimonadaceae
Description: contains 16S-23S intergenic spacer region
Source: RNAcentral